Molecule: long non-coding RNA, 393 nt
Organism: Drosophila pseudoobscura
Lineage: Eukaryota; Metazoa; Arthropoda; Insecta; Diptera; Drosophilidae
Exons: 2
Source: RefSeq, a predicted model, not a curated record
UGAGUGACAUCAACCAAACGCUGAAGAGAGAAUUUCGACCGCUUCGUGUCCUACAAUAGCCGCCUCCGCAACUCCAAUGAAAAUUGUAUAUAUAUGCAUAUGCUUUUUGUUGAAGCGGGAGCGGCCGGUGUACGGAACAACACGUAAAAUCCUCAAUCCCCAAGUGAAGAAUCAAACCGCUUUCGCAACUCCAAAAAAAUUGAAAAUCGCAGUCGCGCCGCCGCAGGUCUGCCUUGCAAGAGUGAGAUAGAUGUAUCGUCUGUCGCUGUAUGUGUGUGUUUUGCAUGCGCCUGCUUCUGCGUACAAAAAAAAUACGUCAGCCGACAGCGCAGCCGCAGCUGUUGUCUCUCUGUCUCUCGCUCUCUCUCUGCUUUUGCAAGGUAGCAGAAAAGG